UGAACAGAGGACGCCCCGCUGUCCGAAGACUCCAGAGAGGAGCGUGACGGAAUCCCUCCCUCCCUCUGCCUCAGCCUCUGGCCUGGCUGCUGCCUCUAGACCCGCUCGGGCCGAAGUCUCCCUGGUGCUGCCGCCAGGGACACGCUUCUGAGUCAGCUCCGCCCGGCCUUCCUGC
RNAcentral lists this long non-coding RNA (175 nucleotides) under Sus scrofa (pig). RNAcentral describes it as "lncRNA (ENSSSCG00050073635.1)". The record is from RNAcentral. Lineage: Eukaryota; Metazoa; Chordata; Mammalia; Artiodactyla; Suidae.